GGGCGAUUAGCUCAGCUGGCAGAGCGCUUGCUUUACACGCAAGUGGCCGGCGGUUCGAACCCGUCAUCGCCCA
RNAcentral lists this transfer RNA (73 nucleotides) under Candidatus Rifleibacteriota bacterium. Its description in RNAcentral is "tRNA-Val". It matches the Rfam family "tRNA". From Rfam's summary of the family: Transfer RNA (tRNA) molecules are approximately 80 nucleotides in length. Lineage: Bacteria; Candidatus Rifleibacteriota. The record is from RNAcentral.